AUGGCGGCCCGGGCGCCGGGCGGAGGGCGGAGGGCGGGAGGGCGGCGGCCGGGCGGGGGGAGCCGGGGGCCGGGCGGCGGGGGCCGGGCGGGGAGGCCGGGGCGGGGGCGCGCCCGGGGCCGGGGGGCGGGGUGGGGGCGGCGGGCCCGGGCGGCGGCGGCGGCGGCGAGCGCCGGAGCGGAAUGGUGCGGACUGGCCGGGAGCGGGGGCGGCGGCGGCGGGCGGGGGCGGCGGCUGGGGGUCCGCCCUCCCGGCUGCCCCGGGCGGCCCGCGGGCUUUGUGUCGGCGGGCGGGGCGGCGGGCGGCGGGCGGCGGGGCGGCGCAGGAGGAGGACCGCGCGGGGCCUGGUCGGGCCGGAAGCCGGGGAGUCGCGUGAGCGCCGCCCGCCGCCGGCCCUUCGCGCGCGGCCAGGCCUGGGGCCCGCGGCCCAGUGAGUGCGGCGGGCGGGGCGCGGGCCGGCGGGGCCGUGGGGCGGGGGCGGCGGGCGGGCGGGCCCGGGGAGCCGGGCGGGGCUGCUCCGCGUCCCCCGGGGCCGGGCUCGGCGGCGGCGAGGCCUGCGCGUCCUCAACAGGUCGCCCCAGGGCCCGGGCGCGGCGGCGCGGGCGGCGCGGCGCGGGGGGCGCGGGGCCGGGCGCGGGGCCGGGCGCGGGGCCGGGCGCGGGGCCGGGCGCGGGGCGCGGGGCCCAGCUCCACGUGGACGCGGCGGGGCGCGGGCGCCGGGGACGAGCCGCGGGCGCCCAGCAGGUGCGGGAGGCCUGGGCCGGGGCGGGGGUGCUGCAGCCCGCGGCGACCCGGCGGCGACCCGGCGGCGACCCCGCGCCGGCCCCGCCCGGCCCCGCUCCGGCCCCGCCGGCCCCGCCGGCCCCGCCGACCCCGCGCCCGGAGGCGGGAAGCCCGCGGGGCGGCGAGGAGCUGUGCGGCGCGAGCCGGGGGCGACCGGGGCUGAGCCGGGGCUGCCAACCCCUCGGCUGCUGGGGCAUCGGCUGCGAAUCACGGUGGGAACUUUAUCAGAGAGAUCGCUCGGUUGUACUUUAA
RNAcentral lists this long non-coding RNA (1035 nucleotides) under Canis lupus dingo (dingo). Its description in RNAcentral is "lncRNA (ENSCAFG00020003245.1)". Lineage: Eukaryota; Metazoa; Chordata; Mammalia; Carnivora; Canidae. The record is from RNAcentral.